Molecule: unclassified non-coding RNA, 376 nt
Filed under: soil metagenome
Description: partial contains 5.8S ribosomal RNA, internal transcribed spacer 2, and large subunit ribosomal RNA
Rfam family: 5.8S ribosomal RNA (bases 1-120)
Source: RNAcentral
GAUGAAGAACGUAGCGAAAUGCGAUAAGUAAUGUGAAUUGCAGAAUUCAGUGAAUCAUCGAAUCUUUGAACGCACCUUGCACCCUUUGGCAUUCCGAAGGGUAUGCUCGUUUGAGUGUCAUUGUACUCUCACACUCCCGAUCUUUGGAUUGGGAGCGGUGGACUUGGGUUUGCUGCUUGCCGUGGCUCACCUCAAAUGGAUUAGUGCAACUCUUGGUUGACCAUAGUACGGCGUGAUAAGUGUCUUCGCCGGCACCUCACUGGGUGGGCCGAUCGGGAGCUCUGUGCUUCAAACCGUCCUCGGACAACAACUGACAACUUGACCUCAAAUCGAGUAGGACUACCCGCUGAACUUAAGCAUAUCAAUAAGCGGAGGA